CGCGGCCUAUCAGCUUGUUGGUGGGGUGAUGGCCUACCAAGGCGACGACGGGUAGCCGGCCUGAGAGGGCGACCGGCCACACUGGGACUGAGACACGGCCCAGACUCCUACGGGAGGCAGCAGUGGGGAAUAUUGCACAAUGGGCGGAAGCCUGAUGCAGCGACGCCGCGUGAGGGAUGACGGCCUUCGGGUUGUAAACCUCUUUCAGCAGGGACGAAGCGGAAGUGACGGUACCUGCAGAAGAAGCGCCGGCCAACUACGUGCCUGCAGCCGCGGUAAGACGUAGGGCGCGAGCGUUGUCCGGAUUUAUUGGGCGUAAAGAGCUCGUAGGCGGCUUGUCGCGUCGACUGUGAAAACCCACAGCUCAACUGUGGGCUUGCAGCCGAUACGGGCAGGCUAGAGUUCGGUAGGGGAGACUGGAAUUCCUGGUGUAGCGGUGAAAUGCGCAGAUAUCAGGAGGAACACCGGUGGCGAAGGCGGAUCUCUGGGCCUUGCCUGACGCUGAGGCGCGAAAGCUAGGGGAGCGAACAGGAUUAGAUACCCUGGUAGUCCUAGCCGUAAACGUUGGGUGCUAGGUGUGGGCGGAUAUCGACCCCGUCCGUGCCGAAGCUAACGCAUUAAGCACCCCGCCUGGGGAGUACGG
This 643-nucleotide ribosomal RNA is filed under the name uncultured actinomycete. RNAcentral describes it as "bacterial SSU rRNA". It matches the Rfam family "Bacterial small subunit ribosomal RNA", at positions 232 to 885 of the family's 1533-position model. Lineage: Bacteria; Bacillati; Actinomycetota; Actinomycetes; Actinomycetales. The record is from RNAcentral.